GAAAUGCGAUAAGUAAUGCGAAUUGCAGAAUUUCCGUGAGUCAUCGAAUCUUUGAACGCACAUUGCGCCCUUUGGCAUUCCGAAGGGCAUGCCUGUUCGAGCGUCAUUAUCCUCUCUCAAACCCCCGGGUUUGGUGUUGGACCGCGUUGGCCUUUCACGGCCAACUGGUCUCAAAGACAAUGACGGCGUCCCAGGGACCCUCUUCGCACUGAGCUUUCCGGAGCACGCGUAGAGUUUCAAGGGCCCAGGGACCCGGUCGCCUCUAAAACUUUUUUCAGGUUGACCUCGGAUCAGGUAGGAAUACCCGCUGAACUUAA
This 317-nucleotide unclassified non-coding RNA is filed under the name uncultured Trichomerium. RNAcentral's name for it is "sequence contains ITS1". The stretch from base 1 to 106 matches the Rfam family "5.8S ribosomal RNA", at positions 50 to 154 of the family's 154-position model. Lineage: Eukaryota; Fungi; Ascomycota; Eurotiomycetes; Chaetothyriales. The record is from RNAcentral.